AGAGAAUUAAAAUGUUAAAUAAAAUCAGAAGUGAACUUGCUCUCCACCUGCGCAGAGCUCUAUAAUCAGUCUGCGAUUUUCCUUGCUCUUCUGUGUCUCUGUGCAUUUCCUGCCUAUAAAUCCCCUGGAAGUUUCCUUUACAGUUCAAGGAAUAAAGGACUGCUGCCCUUCUCGCAAUUCUGUCCUCAACUUGUCUUCUUAAAAUGGCAAGGACUGUUUCUUAAUUUUAGGACUUGAGACCAACCCCCUGUGCCUGCUCCCCACCCACACCAUUACGGCUGAGAGAUAAACCCCUCCCUCUGGACAACAGAGCCCAGAUCCACAGUGCUCAAUCUAUUCUGCCCAAGGAAGGGAGAAUACCUUGAUUUAAGGUCCCAGAUGCCCGGACGAUAGACACGGUGGAGUUACGGUGCUUGCCCAGCUCAGAGAAAGAACGAAUCUGCCAACAGCGGUCUCUGGUGCCCGGGCCAACCAUUUCACGCCCACUCUGAGAGCCCAGAACACAACUGGUUCAUUGUGUGUUAUUCGGAAGAUGUAAAGCUCGGAAGCCUUGGGAAGAAACCCCCGCCGUUUGUUACAGAAACGGGAGAAACAUUGAACUUGGCUUGUCUAUUGUGUCUUAACUGCAUGGCCAUGUGCGGGAGGAGGGCAUGGACGUCACUCACACCUCCUACAAGAUCUGUCUCUCGAUCUUCUCGAAGUUAAUGCUGUCUAUGGCUCAGUGAGGAGGCUCACAAUGAGGGGCCACAUGACCGGCCCACCGUAACCCUUGGGGCUGUCUGCUAACGAUGCGCGCCCUUGGGCAGAUUCCUUCUGAUAACCAUGAUUAUCUAGCAUUCCAACUGCACAUUCAUUUUCCCAAAACAUUUAAACUCUGCUCUUACAUUUUAUCUUUAGACACGCUUGUCAGAUAACAUGUUCCUCCCGCAGAUAAGGAAACCAAGCACAAAGAGGGUAUUUGUGGACUGCCAAGGAUAGCAGAGUCGAGAUGGGAGUCCUUGGGCACUUGCCUUAACAGAAUUGGAACUCCUGGGCCCAAAGAUCCUUCUCUGGGUCCUACCAGCAGGUCCAGUCACGGGCGUUCCCCAGGGGGGCCUAAGCGCCAGUGUCCUCUAAGAGGUGCCUGGCACAGCACCGGGACUGCUCUGCACUUGAAUGUCAGUGUGACAAGGUGGAGGAAGCAUUAACACAACCCAGAAACCACAAAAUUCUAAUCCAGUGAGAUGCAUUGCUUAACAUUCAAACAGGCUUUUAGAAAACACAGAGUUAGCUGU
Long non-coding RNA from Zalophus californianus (California sea lion), 1274 nucleotides. RefSeq lists it as uncharacterized. The record is from RefSeq and is a predicted model, not a curated record. The transcript is spliced from 3 exons. NCBI's taxonomy places the organism in Eukaryota, Metazoa, Chordata, Mammalia, Carnivora, Otariidae.